GAUGAACGCUGGCGGCGUGCUUAACACAUGCAAGUCGAGCGAAGCACUAAAGCGGAUUUCUUCGGAUUGAAGGUUUAGUGACUGAGCGGCGGACGGGUGAGUAACGCGUGGGUAACCUGCCUCAUACAGGGGGAUAACAGUUGGAAACGGCUGCUAAUACCGCAUAAGCGCACAGUACCGCAUGGUACGGUGUGAAAAACUCCGGUGGUAUGAGAUGGACCCGCGUCUGAUUAGGUAGUUGGUGGGGUAACGGCCUACCAAGCCGACGAUCAGUAGCCGACCUGAGAGGGUGACCGGCCACAUUGGGACUGAGACACGGCCCAAACUCCUACGGGAGGCAGCAGUGGGGAAUAUUGCACAAUGGGGGAAACCCUGAUGCAGCGACGCCGCGUGAGCGAAGAAGUAUUUCGGUAUGUAAAGCUCCUWWUCWAGGCMAKGGRAAAAWGGKWAA
RNAcentral lists this ribosomal RNA (451 nucleotides) under uncultured bacterium. RNAcentral describes it as "bacterial SSU rRNA". It matches the Rfam family "Bacterial small subunit ribosomal RNA", at positions 28 to 461 of the family's 1533-position model. The record is from RNAcentral.